Molecule: unclassified non-coding RNA, 1379 nt
Filed under: Lucilia cuprina (Australian sheep blowfly)
Lineage: Eukaryota; Metazoa; Arthropoda; Insecta; Diptera; Calliphoridae
Description: mOB kinase activator-like 1, transcript variant X1
Source: RNAcentral
ACGAGAAAAAACUUUGAAGUAGAAGACAACAAAGAAACAAAAAAUAAGUAGUUUUUCAUCACCAAGGUGGAAGUGCUAGACAAAAUAUAUAUUUUUUUGUUUGAAUUCUUAUGAACGGCAUUUUUCUUUUUAAUAAAAACAGAAAAAAUACUUAAUGUAGUUAUCUUAAAGAGCUCGGAAGCAUUUAAUUCAUAGACUUUUAGAAGAAACUUUAUUGUUUCGCUUUGAAAAGGAAAAAACACACAUACACAUUAAUAAAUUCGUCACAUCAGCUAAAAAUAAAAAUUUUACCGUCUACUCUAUACCAUCUUGAUCAUCAUCGUCUUUACCACUACUACAACUACUUGGAGGUCUACACAUAGUGUUGCUCUAUCUUUAUUAUUUGGUCUUUGCCUUAUAGUCAGUCCGACAGACAAUUAGUCAGUCAUUCAUUUAUACAGACGUACUCUUUCAUCUACCAAAAUUUGCCAAUAUUCUGUAGGAGUACAAAAAAAGAAAAAGAAAAUCUUUUAAGUUUUUUCACCUUUUCCUCUUGGAUUGCUUUAUCGAGAUUUGUUUAAAACACAGCAACACAAUGGAGUUUUUGUUUGGAUCGCGAUCAAGUAAAACGUUUAAACCUAAAAAGAAUAUACCUGAAGGAACUCAUCAAUAUGAUCUCAUGAAACAUGCAGCCGCCACACUGGGUUCGGGUAAUUUACGAAAUGCCGUAGCCCUUCCAGAUGGUGAAGAUCUUAACGAAUGGGUGGCCGUAAACACUGUGGAUUUCUUCAAUCAAAUCAACAUGCUAUACGGUACUAUUACAGAAUUUUGCACUGAAGAAAGUUGUGGUAUAAUGUCAGCUGGUCCCAAAUAUGAAUAUCACUGGGCUGAUGGUUAUACAGUUAAGAAACCCAUUAAAUGUAGUGCACCCAAAUAUAUUGAUUAUCUCAUGACCUGGGUACAGGAUCAAUUAGAUGAUGAAACGUUAUUUCCCUCCAAAAUUGGAAUACCUUUUCCAAAGAAUUUCUUAAGUAAUGCUAAAACUAUAUUGAAACGCUUAUUCCGUGUUUAUGCUCACAUAUAUCAUCAACAUUUUUCGGAAGUUGUAACAUUGGGCGAAGAGGCCCAUCUCAAUACAUCAUUUAAGCAUUUCAUAUUUUUUGUACAGGAGUUUAAUUUAAUUGAACGACGUGAGCUGGCACCUUUGCAGGAACUUAUUGAUAAGUUGACAGCAAAAGAUGAAAGGCAAAUAUAGGACUCAAUGCAAGUUGUGGGGGCUUCGCAUGGAAUGGAGUUUUGAGUUUAACCACCGAUGACAAUGGAAAUACUUGUACAGAUACUACUAAUCCAAAUUACAAAAAAAAACGGAUAAUAAAAUUUUAUUUAUAAACAAAUACACA